This 93-nucleotide microRNA precursor is filed under the name Pelobates cultripes (western spadefoot toad). The record is from RNAcentral. Lineage: Eukaryota; Metazoa; Chordata; Amphibia; Anura; Pelobatidae.
CCCCAGAUGUUGCUGAACUACAACUCCCAUGAUUCCGUGGCUAUCUGUUUCAUUGAAAGAAUCAUGGGAGUUGUAGUUCAGCAACAUCUGGGG